UAUGGAGAGUUUGAUCCUGGCUCAGGAUGAACGCUGGCGGCGUGCCUAAUACAUGCAAGUCGAGCGAACGGAYGAGAAGCUUGYUUCUCUGAUGUUAGCGGCGGACGGGUGAGUAACACGUGGAUAACCUACCUAUAAGACUGGGAUAACUUCGGGAAACCGGAGCUAAUACCGGAUAAUAUUUUGAACCGCAUGGUUCAAAAGUGAAAGACGGUCUUGCUGUCACUUAUAGAUGGAUCCGCGCUGCAUUAGCUAGUUGGUAAGGUAACGGCUUACCAAGGCAACGAUGCAUAGCCGACCUGAGAGGGUGAUCGGCCACACUGGAACUGAGACACGGUCCAGACUCCUACGGGAGGCAGCAGUAGGGAAUCUUCCGCAAUGGGCGAAAGCCUGACGGAGCAACGCCGCGUGAGUGAUGAAGGUCUUCGGAUCGUAAAACUCUGUUAUUAGGGAAGAACAUAUGUGUAAGUAACUGUGCACAUCUUGACGGUACCUAAUCAGAAAGCCACGGCUAACUACGUGCCAGCAGCCGCGGUAAUACGUAGGUGGCAAGCGUUAUCCGGAAUUAUUGGGCGUAAAGCGCGCGUAGGCGGUUUUUUAAGUCUGAUGUGAAAGCCCACGGCUCAACCGUGGAGGGUCAUUGGAAACYGGAAAACUUGAGUGCAGAAGAGGAAAGUGGAAUUCCAUGUGUAGCGGUGAAAUGCGCAGAGAUAUGGAGGAACACCAGUGGCGAAGGCGACUUUCUGGUCUGUAACUGACGCUGAUGUGCGAAAGCGUGGGGAUCAAACAGGAUUAGAUACCCUGGUAGUCCACGCCGUAAACGAUGAGUGCUAAGUGUUAGGGGGUUUCCGCCCCUUAGUGCUGCAGCUAACGCAUUAAGCACUCCGCCUGGGGAGUACGACCGCAAGGUUGAAACUCAAAGGAAUUGACGGGGACCCGCACAAGCGGUGGAGCAUGUGGUUUAAUUCGAAGCAACGCGAAGAACCUUACCAAAUCUUGACAUCCUUUGACAACUCUAGAGAUAGAGCYUUCCCCUUCGGGGGACAAAGUGACAGGUGGUGCAUGGUUGUCGUCAGCUCGUGUCGUGAGAUGUUGGGUUAAGUCCCGCAACGAGCGCAACCCUUAAGCUUAGUUGCCAUCAUUAAGUUGGGCACUCUAAGUUGACUGCCGGUGACAAACCGGAGGAAGGUGGGGAUGACGUCAAAUCAUCAUGCCCCUUAUGAUUUGGGCUACACACGUGCUACAAUGGACAAUACAAAGGGCAGCGAAACCGCGAGGUCAAGCAAAUCCCAUAAAGUUGUUCUCAGUUCGGAUUGUAGUCUGCAACUCGACUACAUGAAGCUGGAAUCGCUAGUAAUCGUAGAUCAGCAUGCUACGGUGAAUACGUUCCCGGGUCUUGUACACACCGCCCGUCACACCACGAGAGUUUGUAACACCCGAAGCCGGUGGAGUAACCUUUUAGGAGCUAGCCGUCGAAGGUGGGACAAAUGAUUGGGGUGAAGUCGUAACAAGGUAGCCGUAUCGGAAGGUGCGGCUGGAUCACCUCCUU
Molecule: ribosomal RNA, 1549 nt
Filed under: Staphylococcus argenteus
Lineage: Bacteria; Bacillati; Bacillota; Bacilli; Caryophanales; Staphylococcaceae
Description: 16S ribosomal RNA
Source: RNAcentral